UCCAUUUUUUUAAAUCGUUGUUCCUUAUAUACAGGGUGUCCUAAAAGUCACUUUUUUGAAUUGAAAAAUUUACACUAUUUUUGACAGGUAUUUGAAAUGAUGACAUCAUAGGUCCAUAUUUCUUUAAAUACACUACCUGGAAAUUCAUAUCUUAAAAUGAUAAAUAAUGAAUUGUUAUUCUAUUAAUAAGUCUAUAUUGAUUUAUUGUUUUACUUUUCUUUCCUCAGGAUUAUUUUCUCGGGAUAUUUUCUUCUUUUGGGACUCUUCUAUUUGAAGUUUUGAUAUUAUAAGUCAUCAUAGAAGUUUUCGUUGACCUAUAAAAUAUAUUUCUUUGAAUAUAUAUUUUAAAGAAAGAGGAUGAAGUAAUCUUCAAGGAUGGUAAAAGUGAUCUAAGAAGUCAGCAGUUAUGCUACAAGUGCUACCUGGAUGUAAAUGGAUAAACUCAUUGCUUGGCAUCUUAA
This 461-nucleotide long non-coding RNA is filed under the name Polistes fuscatus (common paper wasp). Its description in RNAcentral is "uncharacterized LOC122515378". The record is from RNAcentral. Lineage: Eukaryota; Metazoa; Arthropoda; Insecta; Hymenoptera; Vespidae.